This 22-nucleotide non-coding RNA is filed under the name Mus musculus (house mouse). The record is from RNAcentral. Lineage: Eukaryota; Metazoa; Chordata; Mammalia; Rodentia; Muridae.
CUGAGUUUUCGCCAUUUACACC